AAUAGAUACCCGGGUAGUCCACGCCGUAAACGAUGAAUGCUAGGUGUUAGGGGUUUCGAUACCCUUGGUGCCGAAGUUAACACAUUAAGCAUUCCGCCUGGGGAGUACGGUCGCAAGACUGAAACUCAAAGGAAUUGACGGGGACCCGCACAAGCAGUGGAGUAUGUGGUUUAAUUCGAAGCAACGCGAAGAACCUUACCAGGUCUUGACAUCCCUCUGACCGGUACAGAGAUGUACUUUCCCUUCGGGGCAGAGGAGACAGGUGGUGCAUGGUUGUCGUCAGCUCGUGUCGUGAGAUGUUGGGUUAAGUCCCGCAACGAGCGCAACCCUUGAUCUUAGUUGCCAGCACCUUGGGUGGGCACUCUAAGAUGACUGCCGGUGACAAACCGGAGGAAGGUGGGGAUGACGUCAAAUCAUCAUGCCCCUUAUGACCUGGGCUACACACGUACUACAAUGGCCGGUACAACGGGCUGCGAAAUCGCGAGAUGGAGCCAAUCCCACCAAAGCUGGUCUCAGUUCGGAUUGCAGGCUGC
Molecule: ribosomal RNA, 533 nt
Filed under: uncultured bacterium
Lineage: Bacteria
Description: bacterial SSU rRNA
Rfam family: Bacterial small subunit ribosomal RNA
Source: RNAcentral